Molecule: ribosomal RNA, 384 nt
Filed under: Bacillus sp. SD-2
Lineage: Bacteria; Bacillati; Bacillota; Bacilli; Caryophanales; Bacillaceae
Description: bacterial SSU rRNA
Rfam family: Bacterial small subunit ribosomal RNA
Source: RNAcentral
CGGAGUUUUGAAAAGCUUGCUUUUCAAAACUUAGCGCCGGACGGGUGUAGUUAACACGCGGGCAACCUGCCGUUGCAACGGGGUAUAACAUCCAGGAAACCGGAGCUAAUACCGGAUAACACAUAUCUUCGCAUGAGGAUAUGUUAGAAGGUGGCUUUUAGCUACCACUCAAGGAUGGGCCCGCGGCGCAUUAGCUAGUUGGUGAGGUAACGGCUCACCAAGGCGACGAUGCGUAGCCGACCUGAGAGGGUGAUCGGCCACACUGGGACUGAACACGGCCCAGACUCCUACGGGAGGCAGCAGUAGGGAAUCUUCCGCAAUGGACGAAAGUCUGACGGAGCACCCGCGUGAGUGAUGAAGGUUUUCGAUCGUAAAGCUCUGUUG